AGCCUAAUACACUAGAGUAGAAGUGAAAAACCUUAUCACUUUCCUUUUUUCCUUUUUCCUUUCACUUUCUCUCCUGUUUUAUUUCUUCUUUCUCUCUCUGCUCACCUGCUAAACCUAAUUCUGUUGAAGUCAAACGAAAUCUACCAAAAAUUCAGAAGCCAUCUUCCCUGAACUCUUAUUUCAUAGAUCAAAACCCAUCAUUUAGAAAUACGCUUAUCUCACUCACAAAGACUCUCCUUUGUCUAAGAAGAAGACGCUCUUCGAUUCGCCUGAGUUUUUGAUUUUGGAGUGAUGGAGCAGCAGCAUAAUAAGAACAUGGUUGAAGAAAACAUCCGAGAAGAAGAGAUUCUCCAUGGCCCCUUUUUCGGUUUAACAACUUCGGGCGGCUGGGGUAGCCUCAGUUGAUGUAAAGAAGCUUAAAGAUGCUGGUCUAUGCACGGUUGAAGCUGUUGCAUACUCUUCUCGGAACGAAUUACUUCUAAGCAAAGGAAUUAGUGAGAUCAUUAAAUUAAGCAGCGACGAAGCUGGUUCCGUUGGGUUUUACUAGUGUUAGUCAACUUCAUGCACAGAGGCAAUAAAUCAUUCAGAUAACAUCAGGAUCAAGAGAAUUUGGCAAGGAAGGACUGAGACUUAGGCUAUUACUCAAUUGUAUGGUGAAUUUCUCAAAAUCGUGAUUUUUAUUAUGUCCAGUGCGCACUCCUCGAACUGAUGUAAAGGAGUUCUUUUGGCAAGCCAGAACUGCAGGAGUACGUCUUUCUACAAGCAGUUCGGCGCAUUUCUUGUUAACAUCGAGGAGCUGAAUUCUCAAAAUCGAACUCGAGAGUUGAAGUUUCGUCAGAAUCUUAUGAUAGUUGCAUUGGAGGAGAUGGCUUUGAAACGCUUACAGCAGUCUUUGCCUGCUUUCCUAGUGAUCCCAUAUGUCCUUUUUCCUCUAGUGUUUGGUGGAUUGAGAUAAUGCAGCUUGCAUUUGGUUUCAUCCAACAUAUAAAUAAGGGAAUACACACCCUCAAUUCAUCACUGGGAAGUUUCUCGUUUGUUGUUUUGCAGUUUGCAGUUGUCUUUAUGAACUUCAAAACUUAGAUCUAAGUGACAUCCUAUCGGCAGAAUUUGGAGCAGCUUUUGCAGUGUGAGUGCACAAGAUUCUUCAGUAAACAAGACCUCGAGUAGGCACGCAAAAGCAAGUGCAUAUGUCCUCCGAGUUGGAGGCUGCCCUUUCUGCUAUUUUAUGCUAACGUGUCUACAUGUUCUGACUUCUGAUCACCAUGAAGUAAAGCCUGCAUACUGUGAAUAAGUCAGAUAGUUGUUGAAUUUUAAGUUGCAAGGGUGCAAGAUGAAUCUAAAGUGAUGACUGCAGAGAGUGGAACGUCACUUGGAAUGGCAUGAGGUCAUAGAGAAAAGCCUUACGAUUACAAGGCGAACAUUUUCAGUUUCACAAUUGUGUUGUAGGAGAUGCUAACUAGAAAGGUAAAAACUCUAGUAAAAUUUUGUUUGGAAACUGAACUUGGCGAAAAUUCUUAAGUAAAAUAUACACUUCACUUCAAAUAUACAGUCUUGACUAAUUUUUACCAUUUUCCCUGUAACAGGCAGCUUCUUUACGAGUUAUCAUACUUAUCAUGCCUACGGUUUUCACUGCCUAUAUAUGGUUUAUUUGUUCGUCUGAAUGAAGUCACUGUGUAAAUGUUGUUGCUGGUGUUGUCUUGAUGAUGGGUCUAUUAGACCACCUCCGUAUAUAUUAUUAUCCACUAGUCAUGUAAACCUAGCAUAUAAGGCUUGACUUUUUACUCUUCUUCUGAAUGUAGUUCGAUACCUUCAUGGAUGCCGUCACUCUCUUCCCGAUGGUCUCAUGAGGGUUGCUGAUGUCAUGGUUGAUGGUGAGAUCGUUGUUGCUGCUGGAUAAGGAAAUGUUGGAAAGGGUUGUGCUUCUAAAAGAUCUUCUCUCAAGCAAGCUGGUGCCAAGGUCCUAAUGACUGAAAUUGUGGUUGAAAUUUUUAGGACUUGUUGCAUCACUUCUCUUUAAGAAACCUUAAUAAUAGGGAAUUGAAUCCUUUUUUCUUAAUGAAUUGGACUAAAUUUAUGAGCACAGUUCAAUGUAAAUGGAGCUGUCAUUUGGUAUUAGAUGAUUCAGGUUUUAUUUGGAAUUUGAAUUUUAGUAUUUUAAUGUUAUUUUUCAUUUGAAUUUUGCUUGAAUUUGAGAAUUUUAGUAAUUUCAAUUGAAUUUGAA
Papaver somniferum (opium poppy) is the source of this 2221-nucleotide long non-coding RNA. RefSeq lists it as uncharacterized. The record is from RefSeq and is a predicted model, not a curated record. The transcript has 10 exons. Lineage: Eukaryota; Viridiplantae; Streptophyta; Magnoliopsida; Ranunculales; Papaveraceae.